UUUCGGCUUCAUCUUGGAGACGUUUAUCACAGUAUUUGAAGGUACUGCUAUUCAUACGAUUGACGAAUUCUCUGAAGUAUUUGGCCACUGAAGUACAGGUAACACUUUUAGUUGGUUGUUAUUUUUUGUGAUUGAAAAGAAAGAAAAAAUUUAACAACUUUUAACAUUUUCAAUUUCAAUCUUCUUAUGAAUGCAAUUGAUGAGUUGUCCAAGAAUCUUUUAAUACUUGCAUAACCAACAGCAGCUACAUACGAUUUCCAGAAUCCCAAGUUCAGGAGAAGAUAUUUGAUUUGUCAACUGCAUUGGUGUUUUGUGAUAUGAAAGAGACAAAAUAGCGAGAACAAGUGACCAACCGACUAUGUUAGCUAGCUCUUCCAUUCUCCCCAAAUUUAGUCAGGAAAAUCCUUUUAUAGCUCAUAAAGGAAAGAAAGUUCAACACUCAAUCAAAUGUCAAGCUUUGAAGAAUUAGCUCUUUUAUAUGCAAGAUCACUGUUGUCGAAAAGGGUUUGAAUAGGAUGUUCUUGAUUUUGCUGACAUUAUCGUCAAAAAAUUUGAUGAGCUCUGAAGACAAUAGAGAGUAUAAAUUUUGAACAGAAAUUAAGGCAUCGCGCUAUGAAUUUUGAUCAAAAGGAAGCAUACAUAAUCCUCAAGAUGUUGCUGAAAUUGUGUCAUGAAACCAAGAGGUGAUUGAAUAUUGGUCAAUUUGGCCACUCUUUAUUAAGGGCAGAAUGGUGUUUUCUCUUGUAAACCUAUACAAGCCUUGAGAUAAUUUUGUUUCAUAACACGGUAGGAGCUAGAAACAUAAGAGAUUAUGCAGAAAAACAUAUGGAUUUUUUGCUCCUACAUUAGAACAAUCUCUCUAGGAUUGAAUGUGGUUUGAGGUUGAGUUUGCUUUUGAUCCUAAACUUAUUGGAAGGGGUGUGAGAGUGUUUUGUAAUUCUUGUUCCAUCUCGUAUAGUGAAACCAAUAUCACCACCCGUGGACGUAGGCAUAUUGACCGAACCACGUAAAUAGU
Molecule: long non-coding RNA, 1015 nt
Organism: Pistacia vera
Lineage: Eukaryota; Viridiplantae; Streptophyta; Magnoliopsida; Sapindales; Anacardiaceae
Exons: 5
Source: RefSeq, a predicted model, not a curated record